RNAcentral lists this ribosomal RNA (915 nucleotides) under Triticum aestivum (bread wheat). Its description in RNAcentral is "partial small subunit ribosomal RNA". Lineage: Eukaryota; Viridiplantae; Streptophyta; Magnoliopsida; Poales; Poaceae. The record is from RNAcentral.
AUGUUUGACGCUCGUCGGGCCCGCGUCGAGCGCCGGGCCGCUCUCGGUUCCCGCGUCGCCCAGACAGCCCCUGUCGGCGGGCGUCCACGCCGCUCCCCGUCACCUGCCGUCAACGCCGCUACCGGCCCAGCGGGGGACGAGCAGCAAGCAUCGUCUCAGCAUCCGUCUGUGCGGCAAGGCGGCCGCACUGCAACUCCCUCGCUCACUCCAGCUGGUUCUUCGUCCCACGCGCUCCGCGCGCCCAUGGAGGCUCGAGCUGCGCUCAUCGCGGCAAACGAGCUCCUGCGCUACCGUCCCGUCGACGACGUCUACGAAGAAUGGCUCGACCGCGUCGCCGAGCUCGUCCGCGCCGCAAGGGGCUCUCCUGCGCCGUCCGUUCCGCUGCACCGCAACCCGCCCCGCGCGAGCAAUGAAGCUCCGGCGGCGCCCCGGCCGCCUCCUCCUCAGGAAGGCGCCAUGGCUUCAAGGCGCGUGGCCCCUGGGCGGAACCCGCUCCGCCAGGUGCCAGCACGACAAAAGCAGAGCUGCCAAGAAGUCCUUCACCCGCAAGGCAACGCAGGCCUCCCUCCGCUGCCGCCGCAGCCAAGGAGAAACAAGGACCGCCACCAGGACGAGGGGGCUGGGGGCUUCCAGGAGCCGCGCGCGAUCGCCUGCAUCCUGGGCGGGGCUCAAGCCCCAGCCUCCCAACGCAUCUUCAAGCAGUUCGCCCGCGAAGUGAAUGCAGUCCUUCCCAGGCUCGAAGCCACGCGCCCUCUCAGGUGGUCGACGUGCGCCAUCACGUUCAGCUCAGCAGAUCAGCUCAAGUGUGCGGCUACAGCCGGAGUCCUCCCGAUGCUUUGUUCCCCAAUCAUCAGCAACGUGGUGGUCACCAAGACCCUCAUCGAUGGCGGGGCAGGGCUCAACGCCUGUCCGUGA